This 1057-nucleotide ribosomal RNA is filed under the name Bacillus pumilus. Its description in RNAcentral is "bacterial SSU rRNA". It matches the Rfam family "Bacterial small subunit ribosomal RNA", at positions 30 to 1076 of the family's 1533-position model. The record is from RNAcentral. Lineage: Bacteria; Bacillati; Bacillota; Bacilli; Caryophanales; Bacillaceae.
CGGCCGUGCGGCGGCUAUACAUGCAAGUCGAGCGGACAGAAGGGAGCUUGCUCCCGGAUGUUAGCGGCGGACGGGUGAGUAACACGUGGGUAACCUGCCUGUAAGACUGGGAUAACUCCGGGAAACCGGAGCUAAUACCGGAUAGUUCCUUGAACCGCAUGGUUCAAGGAUGAAAGACGGUUUCGGCUGUCACUUACAGAUGGACCCGCGGCGCAUUAGCUAGUUGGUGGGGUAAUGGCUCACCAAGGCGACGAUGCGUAGCCGACCUGAGAGGGUGAUCGGCCACACUGGGACUGAGACACGGCCCAGACUCCUACGGGAGGCAGCAGUAGGGAAUCUUCCGCAAUGGACGAAAGUCUGACGGAGCAACGCCGCGUGAGUGAUGAAGGUUUUCGGAUCGUAAAGCUCUGUUGUUAGGGAAGAACAAGUGCGAGAGUAACUGCUCGCACCUUGACGGUACCUAACCAGAAAGCCACGGCUAACUACGUGCCAGCAGCCGCGGUAAUACGUAGGUGGCAAGCGUUGUCCGGAAUUAUUGGGCGUAAAGGGCUCGCAGGCGGUUUCUUAAGUCUGAUGUGAAAGCCCCCGGCUCAACCGGGGAGGGUCAUUGGAAACUGGGAAACUUGAGUGCAGAAGAGGAGAGUGGAAUUCCACGUGUAGCGGUGAAAUGCGUAGAGAUGUGGAGGAACACCAGUGGCGAAGGCGACUCUCUGGUCUGUAACUGACGCUGAGGAGCGAAAGCGUGGGGAGCGAACAGGAUUAGAUACCCUGGUAGUCCACGCCGUAAACGAUGAGUGCUAAGUGUUAGGGGGUUUCCGCCCCUUAGUGCUGCAGCUAACGCAUUAAGCACUCCGCCUGGGGAGUACGGUCGCAAGACUGAAACUCAAAGGAAUUGACGGGGGCCCGCACAAGCGGUGGAGCAUGUGGUUUAAUUCGAAGCAACGCGAGGAACCUUACCAGUCUUGACAUCCUCUGACAACCCUAGAGAUAGGGCUUUCCCUUCGGGGACAGAGUGACAGUGUGCAUGGGUUGUCGUCAGCUCGUGUCGUGAGAUGUU